Non-coding RNA from Nothobranchius furzeri (turquoise killifish), 1163 nucleotides. NCBI's taxonomy places the organism in Eukaryota, Metazoa, Chordata, Actinopteri, Cyprinodontiformes, Nothobranchiidae. The record is from RefSeq and is a predicted model, not a curated record.
GAGGGAGCUUGUGUUUUCUGCAGUGGCUGAAACAGGUUUUUUUCCUCUUUGCCCUGCUGAAGGCUAUUUUUUGGGGGUCUACAGGGUCACGGCUGUCCUUAGUGAUGUCUCCUUCAGCCGUAAUCAGCACCACGGACAGCAACACCAAUCUCCACCAUCGUAGGCUCCACGACAGGCAUCUAUCUCAAUACACUUUAAAGUGGCUACCCGUGCUUGGCUUCUUUUCUUUCCCAUUGUUGCUGAUCUAAAAAAAUUGAAUUGGUGGAAGCGAGCUGCCCAUUAGGCUUUGUGUGCUCCUUGAUCUUUACCACAAAUUGCAAAGGAACUAAUAAAAGGAAGUGGAGAAAGUAACUAUGAAGGAUCUGCAGUCAACUCCUAGUGGGGGUAAACCAUAACACAGGGGACAGGCUGAUAGUAAUAAUAAAAACUCUUGUUCAGGACUUUUUUCACCUGUGGUGGCUUUUAAAAAUAGCAGCUAUAAUUGGAAGCAAAUAAGAGAUAAAAUAGAGGAGUAGGAGAGGGAGAGAUAGGAGGAGUUUACUACUGUAAGGAGUGAGAGGCUGAGAGAGUGUGAGGGAGGGAUGGGGAGAGUGAAACAGACACACAUACACACACACACACACACAUAGAGGGUGCAGAUAGCGGGAGGGGAAAACCUCCUCUCUGAAAGGGAUGAUGUCAGUCUCUGCAGCUGAGCCCCAGUUCGACUCGUCAGGAUGAAGACUCUCUCCUCCUGAAACACACCGGCAGACUGAUCCACAAACGGGAGAGGAGAGCAAACUUAGGUGGAGAAGCCUGGUGACCGAAACCCCACAGAUCUUGCUGUAAUUUGGAGGAAGAUGGGAAAACACUGCUCCUGAUUGGAUCCUCGGCGCGCUUCUGCUUGUAAGCCACCGUGUAAUAUGGCUUUUUAUUCCUAUGUGAUGAUGACAAACGUUCACGUAGGAAUUGAAGCCAUUUUAAACGUGGUUUGAGAGCAACGAGACCAAAGCGAGAGCUGCUGGCCGCCUUCUCGACGGAGACAUAUGGUGGAUGAAUGUAUCUGUCUUCUGUUCAGUGCUUCCCUGUAGUAAAAGUACAUUUAUGCUCAUCUUUCAGAUGAUGAGUGAACUCACUGAUGUGCUCAUCUGAGAGAACGAGAGAAUAAAAAGAGUCAGACUUUG